GGUGUGGCCAAUGUAAUUACCAGCAUCAGGUAAGAGCGGGCGUGGAAGGCAGGAGAGAAAAUUGUUAGUGCAGUGUGAUCUGGGAAAGAUUUGAGUUGCUGUUUCUAGCUUUGCAGAUGGAAGGGGCCACAAGAGAAGGAGUAAUAAUGGCUUCUAGAAGCUGGGAAAGGCCAGGAUACGGAUUUUUCCCUAGAACCUUCAGAAAGUAUGUCAUCUUGCCAACGCCUAGUGAGACCCAGAACUCUCUACCAAGACUUUCGUCUUCAAAUUUUCUUCCUCCUUUUUGAAUCCUGCUCCUUUUUGCCCACACAGCAACUCUAAAUUUCUCCCAGGCUCUCAGGAUUCUUUCGGACCUCAUGUAGCUACUGAGGGCAAUUAUGGCUAAAAGACUAAGCUGAAAGGAGCUUCGAGAAAUUCUGCAAAGCACUAGUCACUGUAAACUCUGAAAGGCGCUGUUGGCUCUCGACCUCAUGAAGAUAAACUUCCCAGAAAUAGUCUGAGUUGAAUAUGGACCAAAGCUGGUAGGCAUUCAGUAUGGACUUGAUGUCUGCAGGAGUUGAAGAGGAAAAAAAAAAAAGAGUAAACAGUCACUCAACUUUGGUCAAAGAUGAGAAUUUUCACCAAGAAUUGUAUCAUACAGUAGGAAAUCUAAGUACACACAAGCAGCUGCUCUAUUCUCAAAAACCAACGGAGAAAAACAUCAAACUGGUUAUCUGGCAAAUGUAGUAAAAUAAUAACCAAAAAUUUGGCUCAGCUCUUUUACUUUACAGUUUUGUUGCAUUCUCAGUUCAAACAUUGUAAAAAUAAACUGCUUCGCUUCGACUUUUGGAAAUUCCUGUUUCCAUGUUAUUUUUGAUGACUUAAAAGGGAGCAUACCAUUCUGAAUUUCACAGUGACCGAUGUGUUUGUACCACGAAGAGACUUUUAUUUGAGGAAGCAGCCAAAAGCAAUUAAGGAAGACUGUAUUCAUCCCUGCAGAAUAUACCCUGCUAAACUAAUUGGAACAUUAUACACUACAAUCUUGGCAAAAUGUACCAACUAUGAAGAGAUGUCAACAUCUUAAUAAUUCUGUGAUGGCCAUAGGAGGACAAACAGUUGUUGUUGACAAGCGUUUGAUCUUCAUAAGUCUGCUGCUGUGACAAACUACAAACUAUAUUUUAUCCUCUACUUCUGUGAUCCUUCACCCAGAUAAGAACCAACAUCUGGCAUCUUUUCAAAUUUUCUUUCUUUUUUUUUUUUCCUUUUACAUCAGUGGCAAAAGUUAAAAAGGUAACAUGAAAAGAAAGAUGAAACAGGAAUACCGUUCAAAUUGAAGGACUGUAGUUUCAAGUUUCAAUCCCGUAUCAAAACAUCUCCGCCUUAUCUUCUUUUCCAGUCAUCACAAAUGAUGAGUAUAAAGAGAUACACAAACAUCAGUACAAUGCUGUGUGUGUACUGCAAUCCAAAAAUCACAGUGACAAAAUUAUACCUGACAUAUCAAAAACCGACAGUCACAUCCUCAAGAUUUCCUUCUCUCGUUCCCAUGGACCUUCUUGAUUAAUAAAUCUGACACAUAAAAAGCAUCUAUAUGACUAAAGUGCCAGUUACUGGAAAGACCGUUUUGAUCUAUUUCUCAACUUUUAGAAGAAAUAUUCUCUUUUUCAUGAAUACAGGAUCCGUUCACUCACUGCCAGCUUUCAAAUGACCACCUCUUGAAGUUUAAUUUUAAGUUUUAAAUAAAUAUUGUAUGCAUGCAGAAUAAUUACGAUGCUCUUGAGAGACACUGUAUAAUGACAUUGAUUCUUUUUUAUCUGAAAAUGCCAAGCCCUUAAGGCAGCAAAGUCUGCGUUUGCCACAGAUGUGGGAAGGUUCAUUCCAUGUGUUAAAUUUCAGAAGGGGCAUGUGUGGCACUUUCAUUAAAACACUAGCGGUAUUUCCUGAGUAAACUCCGAUUUUCAUGACUUUAAAACUUCUUUCCGUAAGACUCAUCUGGUCUAAGCUACAGAAAGGAACUCAGUGGCCUUCAAUAUAUACAUAUAUAUAAUAUAUAUAUGUAAAUAUAUAGGGAGAGAACAUUCAUUUUAUAUUAAAU
Long non-coding RNA from Bos taurus (domestic cattle), 2071 nucleotides. The record is from Ensembl. Lineage: Eukaryota; Metazoa; Chordata; Mammalia; Artiodactyla; Bovidae.